CCACGCGAUGUUGGCUUAGACCAUAGUCCAUUUAUUAUCAUCGUUGCGAGUAAGAUUGUACGAAGUGUUUUUAUUGAGUCUACUAACGUCAACAUCGCUUAACCCUUUAUUGGGAAUAAUAAUGUGUUUGAUUUAAAUAAUUUACGAGAAGGGGAGAGGGAAUUUUGCGAAGAUCUUGGUGAAGAUUUUGACGGUUUCAACGAGGUGCCCCCCCCCUCCCCCCCCAACUUUCAAGAAUGGGAGUGGCAGAGGGACCACAACGGUGGAGACAUGAGGGAUUUUGAAGAGGCGACAGGACUCAAGAAUAUAUAUUGACACGGUGAGUGAAGUAUCGUGCUAUUGAUUUUUUCCAACUGUUUUACAAUGAUUCUGUGUUUGAACAGAUUAUCAGUGCGACGAAUGAGAAUGCAGCCUACAGGUGAACGAGCGAUCACAACAACAACAAAGAUCAAUCUGUGAUAUCUUCUCUGUGAUGUCAUUCUUAUAGUAGCUGUGGUUCAAUGUUUAGAUGUGCAUGAAGAGAAUUUACCUGUAACACCUGGGAUUACCUGUGCCGUCCGUCCAAGAUGACAAGUCCACUGUGUUACGUUUACC
Haliotis rufescens (red abalone) is the source of this 594-nucleotide long non-coding RNA. RefSeq lists it as uncharacterized. NCBI's taxonomy places the organism in Eukaryota, Metazoa, Mollusca, Gastropoda, Lepetellida, Haliotidae. The transcript has 3 exons. The record is from RefSeq and is a predicted model, not a curated record.